GGAGGGAUGCCGGAGUGGUUGAUCGGAGCGGUCUUGAAAACCGCAAGGGCCGCCAAGCCCUCGGGGGUUCGAAUCCCUCUCCCUCCGCCA
Molecule: transfer RNA, 90 nt
Filed under: Chloroflexota bacterium
Lineage: Bacteria; Bacillati; Chloroflexota
Also listed under: 4 other names
Description: Chloroflexi bacterium (soil metagenome) tRNA-Ser
Rfam family: tRNA
About the family: Transfer RNA (tRNA) molecules are approximately 80 nucleotides in length. Their secondary structure includes four short double-helical elements and three loops (D, anti-codon, and T loops).
Source: RNAcentral